RNAcentral lists this ribosomal RNA (490 nucleotides) under uncultured bacterium. RNAcentral's name for it is "partial 16S ribosomal RNA". It matches the Rfam family "Bacterial small subunit ribosomal RNA", at positions 30 to 507 of the family's 1533-position model. The record is from RNAcentral.
AUUGAACGCUGGCGGCAGGCCUAACACAUGCAAGUCGAACGGUAACAGGAAGCAGCUUGCUGCUUUGCUGACGAGUGGCGGACGGGUGAGUAAUGUCUGGGAAACUGCCUGAUGGAGGGGGAUAACUACUGGAAACGGUAGCUAAUACCGCAUAACGUCGCAAGAACAAAGAGGGGGACCUUCGGGCCUCUUGCCAUCGGAUGUGCCCAGAUGGGAUUAGCUAGUAGGUGGGGUAACGGCUCACCUAGGCGACGAUCCCUAGCUGGUCUGAGAGGAUGACCAGCCACACUGGAACUGAGACACGGUCCAGACUCCUACGGGAGGCAGCAGUGGGGAAUAUUGCACAAUGGGCGCAAGCCUGAUGCAGCCAUGCCGCGUGUAUGAAGAAGGCCUUCGGGUUGUAAAGUACUUUCAGCGGGGAGGAAGGGAGUAAAGUUAAUACCUUUGCCCAUUGACGUUACCCGCAGAAGAAGCACCGGCUAACUCCGUG